RNAcentral lists this ribosomal RNA (496 nucleotides) under uncultured bacterium. RNAcentral describes it as "partial 16S ribosomal RNA". It matches the Rfam family "Bacterial small subunit ribosomal RNA", at positions 28 to 506 of the family's 1533-position model. The record is from RNAcentral.
GACGAACGCUGGCGGCGUGCCUAAUACAUGCAAGUUGAGCGCUGAAGGUUGGUACUUGUACCAACUGGAUGAGCAGCGAACGGGUGAGUAACGCGUGGGGAAUCUGCCUUUGAGCGGGGGACAACAUUUGGAAACGAAUGCUAAUACCGCAUAAAAACUUUAAACACAAGUUUUAAGUUUGAAAGAUGCAAUUGCAUCACUCAAAGAUGAUCCCGCGUUGUAUUAGCUAGUUGGUGAGGUAAAGGCUCACCAAGGCGAUGAUACAUAGCCGACCUGAGAGGGUGAUCGGCCCCAUUGGGACUGAGACACGGCCCAAACUCCUACGGGAGGCAGCAGUAGGGAAUCUUCGGCAAUGGACGAAAGUCUGACCGAGCAACGCCGCGUGAGUGAAGAAGGUUUUCGGAUCGUAAAACUCUGUUGGUAGAGAAGAACGUUGGUGAGAGUGGAAAGCUCAUCAAGUGACGGUAACUACCCAGAAAGGGACGGCUAACUACGU